CGUACGGGUGAGUAACACGUGGAUCAUCUACCUCUUAGUGGGGAAUAACUUUGGGAAACCGAAGCUAAUACCGCAUAAGCCUGGAAAGGGAAAGCCCCUGUUGAAAGAUGGGGGCGCUGAGAGAGGAGUCCGCGGCCGAUUAGCUAGUUGGCAGGGUAAAAGCCUACCAAGGCAUUGAUCGGUAGCCGGCCUGAGAGGGCACACGGCCACACUGGCACUGAAACACGGGCCAG
This 233-nucleotide ribosomal RNA is filed under the name uncultured bacterium. Its description in RNAcentral is "partial 16S ribosomal RNA". It matches the Rfam family "Bacterial small subunit ribosomal RNA", at positions 99 to 334 of the family's 1533-position model. The record is from RNAcentral.